Long non-coding RNA from Notolabrus celidotus (New Zealand spotty), 245 nucleotides. RefSeq lists it as uncharacterized. The transcript has 2 exons. Lineage: Eukaryota; Metazoa; Chordata; Actinopteri; Labriformes; Labridae. The record is from RefSeq and is a predicted model, not a curated record.
CAGAGAACUGCAGCUAAAAUCAGCCCUGUUUGUUAUUGGUCAGUGUGAUCACAUGGUUUGGUUAGAGGCUGAUAUCAGCUACUGUAUAUUGUUUGAGGAAUUCACUGAAGAGCAUGGCCAACUCAAUCCUUCGCAUCCACCUGUGUUGAGCCGCUGAGAAGCUUUGUUUUUUCACAGAUUGGGUCUGGCUCACAUUGUAAGAAAGCUGUAAGAUAAGGACAAACAAGUAAACAGCCUGAACUUUA